This is a long non-coding RNA of Fundulus heteroclitus (mummichog), 870 nucleotides long. RefSeq lists it as uncharacterized. The transcript has 4 exons. The record is from RefSeq and is a predicted model, not a curated record. NCBI's taxonomy places the organism in Eukaryota, Metazoa, Chordata, Actinopteri, Cyprinodontiformes, Fundulidae.
UUUCCUGAUGGCAAUCCAGCGGAUGAAGCUUGGAACCAUUUUUCAGGAGUGAUCCUUCCCUCUGCUUUGACUGCUGCUAUUCUCUUCAUCAUCAUAGUUUUAAUUAUUGUGGGAUUUAUUUGCAGAACACAUCCAGAGAGCGCCUGUUUAAGGUCUGAAACAUCUGGAUCUGAAUCAGCUGUACAUGGAUCUGCCACCACUGUAGUCUGAAACAUCUGGAUCUAAGUCAGCUGUACAUGGAUCUGCCAUCACUGUAGAUGAAGAUAACUCAGAUGAACUGUACAAAGGUCUCCAGCAGCUGACAAACGAUCUCUACCAAACUCUCUCCUCUGGUCACUGGAAGCAUGAAACUGAAACAAACUCAGCCAGGAAGAAAGGAAAUGUUAACCUGGAACAUCUGGAAGCCAACAGCAAUUAUGAAAUCUAUGAAAAACCACCGGUUCAAUAAAAAAAACACCAGUUCAAUCAAAAUCUCUUUAUAUAGCGCCAAUCUGCACAGUGUCUGUUAUCUGUGGUGGGCGAGGGCAUAACGUUGGGUCUACCAUAAAGGGGUUAAGCUGUCUGCUAGUUUAUUUAUUUAUUUAUUGAAUCAUUUGUUGCUGUAAAAGCAUUCAGUAUAAAUCAGCGGUCCUGUAUUACAAAUAGAUUGUAAUCCUUUUACUCUGGUUUACUUAACUUUCCUGUUUUCUUUGUAUUUAGCUAUUAUGCACCUUUUAUUUUCCAUGUCAGUUUAACAGUUAAAAGUCUCACUUUUUCAUCUUUUUGUUUCUAAUUCAAUACGAAAAAUGUUAGAUUUGUGGACUAUUUUAUGACAUUCCAAAAAUUAAGAUAGUCUUUAUUGAUCUCACAUCGGAGAAAUUCACUUGUCAC